Molecule: ribosomal RNA, 506 nt
Filed under: uncultured bacterium
Lineage: Bacteria
Description: bacterial SSU rRNA
Rfam family: Bacterial small subunit ribosomal RNA
Source: RNAcentral
CUGGCUCAGGAUGAACGCUAGCGGCAGGCUAACACAUGCAAGUCGAGGGGCAGCGGGUGUAGCAAUACAUGCCGGCGACCGGCGCAAGGGUGCGUAACGCGUGAGCGACAUGCCCGUGACCUGGGGAUAACCGAUGGAAACGUCGCCUAACCCCCAAUACGAUACACAUUCGCAUGGACGUGUAUUGAAAACCUUGGUGGUCACGGAUUGGCUCGCGUCCCAUUAGGUAGACGGCGGGGUAACGGCCCACCGUGCCGACGAUGGGUAGGGGUUCUGAGAGGAAGGUCCCCCCACAAUGGAACUGAGACACGGUCCAUACUCCUACGGGAGGCAGCAGUGAGGAAUAUUGGUCAAUGGGCGGAAGCCUGAACCAGCCAUGCCGCGUGCGGGAUGAACCGGCCCUACGGGUUGUAAACCGCUUUUGUGUGUGAGCAAUAAGGGCGUUUAGUACGUCCGAUGAGAGUAGCAUACGAAUAAGCAUCGGCUAACUCCGUGCCAGCAGCAGC